This is a long non-coding RNA of Cryptomeria japonica (Japanese cedar), 977 nucleotides long. RefSeq lists it as uncharacterized. The record is from RefSeq and is a predicted model, not a curated record. The transcript has 3 exons. NCBI's taxonomy places the organism in Eukaryota, Viridiplantae, Streptophyta, Pinopsida, Cupressales, Cupressaceae.
GAGGCCUCUUUCAUUAACUGGCGAUUAAAGCGAUGGCAAUGAACCAAUCAAAAAUCAUUAUUCUCAAAUAUUUUUGCAUUUGCUAAUGUUCAGCACCAUUAAACUUGCGUUAAGAAAAAUAUUCUUGACAAAUUUUGUGGCGUUUAACUAUUGGUGUUGUUGGUGGUCUGCAGGGGUUGGCAUAGUUCUCAAUGGGAGAGAAGGCACGACCGCAGAGGCAGGUGCAAGGGCCGCCAAAACAAAACUUUGACAGAGCACAGUCGCUAGGAAAACAUGGCCAGCAAAAAGGUCUAGCUCUGUCAAGUGCGUUGCAGGGAUAUGGGGUUUUCAAGGAUCAGAUGGAAUUCGUUAAUAAUCCAGAGUCUCUACAAGCCUCUUGCCGAGCUUUUUCUAUUCUGCAUUCUUUAUAAUGGAGAGAGCAAAAACAAAAGAGUGUGCUGUAUAGCAGCAGACAGCUCCAGAUUCAUGUACAUGUUUAGUUUUGCCUCAAGAGGUGUUAAGGAGAACAAAGUCAGGUGACAAAAGUCUUCUUCAGACACAGCUCCAGGUUUUCGAAUGCAAAAACACAAAACAAUGAGGAAGCCCACAAAAAAGUUCAACAGUCAGGAAACCCACGGAUAUUGCAUAUGCUGAUAUAUGUUUUUUUCUUUCCCAAUAAUUCUGAUAUUUGCAUUUAUAAUUAUCUGAAAUUUGACUUAUGAUUAAAUAAAAAUAAAAAUCCAUUCAAUCUUAGUACUACUUCACCACACCAAACAACCACACUUCCUUCUUGCCACUACUCGGCAAGAACUUCGCUGCUUGCAGCUCUUGUUAAUAUUGGAAAAGAGCCUCUAGUAUUGGGAUAAACAUGUUUUAUUAGUGAAACCAUAGUUUCCCAUGUUCAACAUAAUGAUGGAGACUUUCUUAGUUUUACCUAUAUAGGUUUGACCUCCAUAUCUCCCCAUUUAAUUUUGGGUAGAUUCAUGCUUCCACGGAGU